Molecule: ribosomal RNA, 254 nt
Filed under: uncultured bacterium
Lineage: Bacteria
Description: partial 16S ribosomal RNA
Rfam family: Bacterial small subunit ribosomal RNA
Source: RNAcentral
UACGGAGGGAGCUAGCGUUGUUCGGAUUUACUGGGCGUAAAGGGCGCGUAGGCGGUCAGCACAAGUCAGUUGUGAAAUCUCCGGGCUUAACUCGGAAAGGUCAACUGAUACUGUGCGACUAGAGUGCAGAAGGGGCAACUGGAAUUCUCGGUGUAGCGGUGAAAUGCGUAGAUAUCGAGAGGAACACCUGCGGCGAAGGCGGGUUGCUGGGCUGACACUGACGCUGGUGCGCGAAAGCCAGGGGAGCGAACGGG